CCUACGGGCGGCAGCAGUGGGGAAUAUUGGGCAAUGGACGCAAGUCUGACCCAGCAACGCCGCGUGAAGGAAGAAGGCUUUCGGGUUGUAAACUUCUUUUAAGGGGGAAGAGCAGAAGACGGUACCCCUUGAAUAAGCCACGGCUAACUACGUGCCAGCAGCCUCGGUAAUACGUAGGUGGCAAGCGUUGUCCGGAUUUACUGGGUGUAAAGGGCGUGCAGCCGGAGAGACAAGUCAGAGGUGAAAUCCGCAGGCGCAACCUGCGAACUGCAUUGGAAACGGUUUCCCUUGGGUAGCGGGGAGGUCAUCGGAAGUCCUGGGGUAGCGGUGAAAGGCGUAGAAAUUAGGAAGAACACCAGUGGCGAGGGCGGAGGACUGGACGACAACUGACGGUGGGGCGCGAAGGCGUGGGGAGCAAACAGGAUUAGAUACCCAGUAGUC
This 441-nucleotide ribosomal RNA is filed under the name uncultured bacterium. RNAcentral's name for it is "partial 16S ribosomal RNA". It matches the Rfam family "Bacterial small subunit ribosomal RNA", at positions 338 to 795 of the family's 1533-position model. The record is from RNAcentral.